UUCAGAAUGAUUAUUCAGGUAUUUAAAAUGGCAUCUGGCAUGAUUUUCCUUAAAAUAUAGUUGACUAUGAUUUUUUUCCUUUCUCCUGCCUAAGGCUUCGCAGAACUCCUGUUUAGUUGUUUUAUUCUUGAGGACAUACAUCAGAUGGAAUUUCUCUUUUCCUAAAUGCCUUGAGUGGGAACAUUCUUUUUUGUCAGCAAAUACUCUGAGGGUAUUAAGGUAUUCAAAUAUUUUAAAUGUAUAUGUGAAAGAUCAUCAAUAUGUUAUUGGACGCCUCACUCAAGACUAAAGAUUAUACUACUCUGACAGGAAGUUUGCAAAUUUCUAUUUCACAUUGGGCUGUGAAAAUUUCAAAGGUAAGCCCACCAAGUGUCAGUAAUUACUCUCCUAGGAAGAAUCAGAGAAACAAAAUUGUGCUAUUACGAGCCAAUAAGCAAGAACUGUGUUUUAGGAAACAUUCAAAUGAAUAUGAUUUCCCACUGAGUUAUGGUUUUGCCAGAUUGCUUUGUGGCUUCCAGCGUGCCUCAGACAACUUGACUGAAACGGAUACCCCUGGGGGUUCAUGGCUUGGCCUCUGAUAUAACCUGCUGGGGCAAAACCCCAGCCUGAAUUGGAAUUGAACUUUUUAAAAAGUAACCAAAUAGAAAAUAUAAAAUUGUAAAACAAUGAUAUGAGGAGAUUCCAAAACCAAAAGGAAACUUACCUGGAACUAAUGUCAGUUACAAAGUCGGUUACAGCGGACAAAAUCAGUAGGAAGAACCACAGCAACUUUUAAAUGCCAUUUGGGGAAAGUGCCUAUGGGUUUAGGGCUAUAAUUGAAGCUACCCCACUACCACUUACCAAAUUACCAAAUUCGAUGAACAUUCCUGUUCUCUGAGUUGCCUUUUCUCCAUAAAUGUAUGCUGUUUGAAAUUAAA
This 917-nucleotide long non-coding RNA is filed under the name Vulpes vulpes (red fox). RNAcentral describes it as "lncRNA (ENSVVUG00000001406.1)". The record is from RNAcentral. Lineage: Eukaryota; Metazoa; Chordata; Mammalia; Carnivora; Canidae.